CCUACGGGGGGCUGCAGUGAGGAAUAUUGGUCAAUGGGCGCGAGCCUGAACCAGCCAAGUAGCGUGAAGGAUGACUGCCCUACGGGUUGUAAACUUCUUUUAUAAAGGAAUAAAGUGAGGCACGUGUGCCUUUUUGUAUGUACUUUAUGAAUAAGGAUCGGCUAACUCCGUGCCAGCAGCCGCGGUAAUACGGAGGAUCCGAGCGUUAUCCGGAUUUAUUGGGUUUAAAGGGAGCGUAGAUGGGUUGUUAAGUCAGUUGUGAAAGUUUGCGGCUCAACCGUAAAAUUGCAAUUGAUACUGGCAUUCUUUAGUUCAGUUGAGGUAGGCUGAAUUCGUGGUGUCGCGGUGCACUGCUUAGAUAUCACG
This 366-nucleotide ribosomal RNA is filed under the name uncultured bacterium. RNAcentral's name for it is "partial 16S ribosomal RNA". It matches the Rfam family "Bacterial small subunit ribosomal RNA", at positions 338 to 701 of the family's 1533-position model. The record is from RNAcentral.